GUGGGGAAUCUUCCGCAAUGGACGAAAGUCUGACGGAGCAACGCCGCGUGAGUGAAGACGGCCUUCGGGUUGUAAAGCUCUGUUAUACGGGACGAACGGGCGGGAUGCUAAUACCAUCCUGUUGUGACGGUACCGUAAGAGAAAGCCACGGCUAACUACGUGCCAGCAGCCGCGGUAAUACGUAGGUGGCAAGCGUUGUCCGGAAUUAUUGGGCGUAAAGGGUGCGCAGGCGGUCUCUUAAGUCUGUCUUAAAAGUGCGGGGCUCAACCCCGUGAGGGGACGGAAACUGGGAGACUGGAGUAUCGGAGAGGAAAGCAGAAUUCCUAGUGUAGCGGUGAAAUGCGUAGAUAUUAGGAGGAAUACCAGUGGCGAAAGCGGCUUUCUGGACGACAACUGACGCUGAGGCACGAAAGCCAGGGGAGCGAACGGGAUUAGAAACCCUAGUAGUCC
This 450-nucleotide ribosomal RNA is filed under the name uncultured bacterium. Its description in RNAcentral is "bacterial SSU rRNA". It matches the Rfam family "Bacterial small subunit ribosomal RNA", at positions 354 to 796 of the family's 1533-position model. The record is from RNAcentral.